This 468-nucleotide ribosomal RNA is filed under the name uncultured bacterium. RNAcentral's name for it is "partial 16S ribosomal RNA". It matches the Rfam family "Bacterial small subunit ribosomal RNA", at positions 28 to 507 of the family's 1533-position model. The record is from RNAcentral.
GAUGAACGCUGGCGGCGUGCCUAACACAUGCAAGUCGAACGGACAGGCGCGGCUCUUGCUGGUUGCACGUGAGGCGAAGGGGUGAGUAUCACGUGAGUAACCCCUCCCUGUCUUUGUGAUAACUCUAGGAAAAAGCGGAUCUUAUCGGGUAUGAGCUCUUGAUGCACGGUGGUGGUAGGAAAGAUUCGGCGGUUGGGGAUGUACUCGAGGGUUAUCCGCUUGUUGGUCUAGUAGUGGCUUACAACGGGUACGACGGAUAGCCGGCAUGAGAGGGGGACCGGCCACAUGGGUACUGAGAGACGGCCCAGAAGGCUACGGGAGGCAGAAGGGGAGAAUAUUGCGCAGUGGGCGGAAGCCUGAUGCAGCGACGCCGCGUGCGUGAUGACGGCCUACGGGUUGUAAACCGCUGUCGACGGUGACGAGGAGUGAGUGACGGUAAUGGGUAAGAAAGCAACGGCUAACUACGUG